RNAcentral lists this ribosomal RNA (542 nucleotides) under Betta ocellata. RNAcentral's name for it is "partial 16S ribosomal RNA". It matches the Rfam family "Bacterial large subunit ribosomal RNA", at positions 1856 to 2597 of the family's 2925-position model. Lineage: Eukaryota; Metazoa; Chordata; Actinopteri; Anabantiformes; Osphronemidae. The record is from RNAcentral.
CGCCUGCCCCGUGACAAAAGUUUAACGGCCGCGGUAUUUUGACCGUGCAAAGGUAGCGCAAUCACUUGUCUUUUAAAUGAAGACCUGUAUGAAUGGCAUAACGAGGGCUUAACUGUCUCCUUUUCCUAAUCAAUGAAAUUGAUCUCCCCGUGCAGAAGCGGGGAUAUGCACAUAAGACGAGAAGACCCUAUGGAGCUUUAGAUACCAAGACAGAUCUUGUUAAAUACCUCAAAAUAACGAAAUAAAACUAAAAGAAUCCUGCCCUAAUAUCUUUGGUUGGGGCGACCACGGGGAAACAAACAACCCCCAUGUGGACUGAGAAAACAAUUCUCACAACUAAGAGCCACAGCUCUAGCUAACAGAACUUCUGACCUUUAAGAUCCGGCAAUGCCGAUCAACGGACCGAGUUACCCUAGGGAUAACAGCGCAAUCCUUUUUUAGAGUUCAUAUCGACAAAAGGGUUUACGACCUCGAUGUUGGAUCAGGACAUCCUAAUGGUGCAGCCGCUAUUAAGGGUUCGUUUGUUCAACGAUUAAAGUCCU